ACACGAGUCAGCAAGGCCUCUGUAAUUUCCCCUUUUUUGUGGUUAUUUGAUUUAAAUAAAAACUCCCUCUCUUCAAGGAAGUCAGUUUUGCACUCGCUUAUGGUCUUCAAAGGAUUUGGUUCCUUCUUAUGCACCUACUGUAUAAGAUGAUCACAAUUUUUGCAUUAAUUCCAUGGAUCACUCUGUCUGUGGUGACAGAGCUGAGUGCUGCAGUCAGUUCUGUUGAUCGGUUUGUGCUGAAAGGAAACUCUACUAACCUCACAGUGGAGGGACUACAAACAGAGAAUGUCCGGAGACUUUCAUGGAAAGUAAACUCAACGCUUAUACUGGAGUACAACCUGAAGGAAAAGAAAGAGACGUACUUUGGCAGUUUUGAGCAGAAGACAAAUUUUAACCCCACAGACUACUCUCUGUACAUUAAGAACCUGAUGGAGACAGACAUUGGUCUCUACUCUGCUGAAAUUCUUGACAAUAAUGGAAAAUCCACCUAUCACACGAAGUAUAACUUACAUGUCCUGGAAGCUGUACCCAAACCCAUCCUAAAUCUGAUGUUACUCCAUCUCAACUCCUCUGGAACAGUUUGCAAUGUGUCAGUGAACUGCUCAGUUGGACACAGCUGGGUCUCCUGCACCUGUGAUCAGGACCAGUGUAAACAUGUGGAACUCCAGUCAGAUGUGAACAUCAGUGUCACUGCUAACAAGGGUACCAUCACCUGUACAGGCAGCAAUCUGGUCAGCAGUGCAAACCAGUCAAAAGCGAUGGAACCUCUAUGUGUUCAAUCCUCCCUUUCAGAACCCUUUCCAUUAACGGCUAUCAUUGCAAUCACUUUGGCAAUUUGCGUGGGUGUGUGUGUAUUAAUCUUUUUAGUAUUUUGGGUUAGAAGAUCCAUGAGGUCUUCAAGCCAUGCUACAUCACAGAACACCCCAGCAAAUGAAGCGGACACAAUAUACACCAAUCCAUUGGACCACAACAUACAAAGCCCUCAAAAUGCAAAACAAAAUUCUGAUCUAACUGUGUACUCCACCGUGGGUCAGAUAAGUGACCCAAAGCCUUACACUUGAAGUCCCGCCAAAGUUCAAUGCUGAUAUAACUACAUACAGUGCGGUGAAUUAAUGACUUUGAUUUGACUUCAAUAAAAACAAAGAGAAUGUCGCGUUGUAGUGAUAU
This 1167-nucleotide long non-coding RNA is filed under the name Scleropages formosus (Asian bonytongue). Its description in RNAcentral is "lncRNA (ENSSFOG00015033079.1)". Lineage: Eukaryota; Metazoa; Chordata; Actinopteri; Osteoglossiformes; Osteoglossidae. The record is from RNAcentral.